This 457-nucleotide ribosomal RNA is filed under the name uncultured bacterium. RNAcentral describes it as "bacterial SSU rRNA". It matches the Rfam family "Bacterial small subunit ribosomal RNA", at positions 338 to 795 of the family's 1533-position model. The record is from RNAcentral.
CCUACGGGUGGCAGCAGUGGGGGAUCUUCCGCAAUGGGGGAAACCCUGACGGAGCGACGCCGCGUGGAGGAUGAAGGCCUUCGGGUCGUAAACUCCUGUCAGUCUGGAAGAAAAUCUGCAGCAAUGUGGAUUGACCGUACAGGCAGAGGAAGCUCCGGCUAACUCCGUGCCAGCAGCCGCGGUAAUACGGAGGGAGCGAGCGUUGUUCGGAAUCAUUGGGCGUAAAGGGCAUGUAGGCGGCUCUGUAAGUCGGGUGUGAAAUCCCAUCUCUCAAGGGUGGAACGGCAUUCGAAACUGCAGGGCUUGAGUUCGGGGGAAGAGAGCGGAAUUCUCGGUGUAGCGGUGAUAUGCGUAGAUAUCGAGAAGAACACCAGCGGCGUAAGCGGCUCUCUAUCCUGAAACUGACGCUGAGGUGCGAAAGCCAGGGGAGCGAACGGGCUUAGAUACCCCGGUAGUC